This 323-nucleotide ribosomal RNA is filed under the name uncultured eukaryote. RNAcentral's name for it is "partial 18S ribosomal RNA". It matches the Rfam family "Eukaryotic small subunit ribosomal RNA", at positions 1470 to 1796 of the family's 1831-position model. The record is from RNAcentral.
CCCUUAGAUGUUCUGGGCUGCACGCGCGCUACACUGAUGCAUCCAGCAAGUAUAUCCUCUGCCGAGAGGCCUGGGCAAUCUUGAAAACAUGCAUCGUGAUAGGGAUAGUUUAUUGCAAUUAUUAAUCUUGAACGAGGAAUUCCUAGUAAACGCAGAUCAUCAAUCUGCAUUGAUUACGUCCCUGCCCUUUGUACACACCGCCCGUCGCACCUACCGAUUGAAUGGUCCGGUGAAGCCUCGGGAUUACGACCAAUGCCUUCAUUGGCUUUGUUUGUGAGAACUUGUCUGAACCUUAUCAUUUAGAGGAAGGUGAANUCGUAACA